Camellia sinensis is the source of this 3433-nucleotide non-coding RNA. The record is from RefSeq and is a predicted model, not a curated record. NCBI's taxonomy places the organism in Eukaryota, Viridiplantae, Streptophyta, Magnoliopsida, Ericales, Theaceae.
AAUUCCCUCCCUACCACCCAAUACUGGUGUAAGAAUGGGUUUCUUACCAUCCAAUUAUCAACUCACAAUAUGUCUCCUGUAUUCCCUAAUUUUCUGCUUCUCUUCUUCUUCUGCACAUCUUUGCCAUAAUGACGAGAGCACUGCUUUGCUCCAAUUUAAGCAACUCUUUUCCUUCAAUUGCUCUGCUUGCGAUUGCCCUAGUUAUCUUUCUGCUCCAUUCACUGAUAAUUGGAAAGAGGGUACAGAUUGUUGUGCAUGGGAUGGGGUCACAUGUGAUAACACCACUUCUCAUGUCAUUGGCCUCGACCUCAAUUGUAACUGCCUAUAUGGUACCAUCCAUCCAAACAGCAGCCUCUUCAAUCUUGUUCACCUUCAACACCUCGACCUUUCUGAAAACAACUUCAAUCACUCUCAAAUUUUACCUUCAUUUGGCCGUUUCACAAAUUUGACCCAUCUUAACCUCUCUUUGUCCUAUCUUUCUGGCCCAAUACAACCAUCUGAAGAAGAAGUCUGGCAAGGGAAUAACUUCUCCAAUAGCAUUUUCCACUUACAGAAAUUGCAGGAGCUGCGGUUAGGCGGCAACAGAGAACUCACAGGUAAACUUCCAAGCUUUAUUAAUGGAACUCUCUGGCACCUUAGGCACCUUAGGUCGUUGGAUCUCUCUGAAAUAGAUUUCACCGGAGAGCUACCUAAUUCCAUCGGCCAACUUGAGUACUUGGAGGUGCUAGGCCUCGCUGCCUGCAAUUUCUCUGGUACGAUUCCGAGAUCGCUUACAAACCUCACGCGAUUAAUUUCGCUUGGUCUUGGAGGGAAUAACUGGAUCAAUGGUCAAUUCCCAUCUUCAAUCGGCCAUCUUAAAAACUUGGAGGAGCUAUUCCUCAAUGACUGCAAUUUCUUUGGUACCAUUCCAACAUGGCUUGGAAACCUCAAGAAACUAAGAAUGUUAGAUCUUGGAGGGAACAACUUGAUCAAUGGUCAAUUCCCAUCUUCAAUCGGCCAUCUUAAAAACUUGGAGUACCUAUACCUCAGUGACUGUAAUUUCUCUGGUACGAUUCCGAGAUCGCUUACAAACCUCACGCAAUUAAUUUGGCUUUAUCUUUCAUCCAACAAUUUUGAAGGCCCAAUUCCUCAACUUUUUUCCAACUUCUCGCAGCUUCAAUCUAUAGAUUUCUCAAACAAUCAACUAACAGGUCCCAUUCCAUCAUCAAUAACUGGCCUUCCACAUCUACAGGAUCUAAAUUUAGGCAGUAACUCAAUCAAUGGGACAAUACCUCCUUCCUUGUUUCAUCUUGUGAACCUUACCUAUCUUGAUCUUUCGUCAAAUAAUUUAAGCGACACUGUUGAGCUGGACACAUUUGCAAAGCUUGAAUAUUUGGAUUCUUUGGUUCUUUCACAUAGUGGUCUAUCAUUGACCACCACCAACUCCACUCACUCCUCUUUCCGAAACAUUAGGACAUUACGAUUGUCGUCUUGCAACAUAAAUAAAAUUCCUGAAUUUCUGAAAACCCGAAUGGAAUUGUUGGAGGCGCUAGACCUUUCGAACAAUCACCUAGAUGAAGAACUCAAUCCACUCUGCAUUCUUCAUUCUCUUAUAUAUCUUGAUCUGUCCAAUAACCAAUUUGGCGGAUUAAUACCUACCUGUUUGGGGAACUUCAGUGGAACAUUAACCGUGUUAAAUUUGCAGAGUAACAAUUUCCAUGGUACCAUCCCUCAAACAUUUGGAUACACAAGCACGUUACAGGAACUUGACAUUAGCCACAAUGGAUUGCAAGGGGUGCUUCCAAGAUCAUUGGCGAAUUGCAUGAACCUAAAAAUUUUGAAUCUGGGUCAUAAUUUCAUAGAAGAUGCUUUUCCAUUUUGGUUGGAGAACCUGCCCCAAUUGAAGAUUAUUGUCUUGCGAGAUAAUAAAUUCCACGGUCCCAUAGAGCAACCAAGGAAGAGAUUAGCCUUCACCAAUUUACAUAUCAUUGACAUGUCUCACAAUGAAUUUACAGGUACUUUGCCAUCCAUAUACUUUGAGAGCAUGCAUUCAAUGAUGAUGGAUGAUGAAGGCAAAUCCUUAAAUUAUAUGCACAUUGGUUAUGGUUAUUAUUCGGUAAACAUAAUGAAUAAAGGACUGGAAAUGACACUUGUAAGGAUCAUCACCAUCUUCAAAGCCGUUGAUUUCUCGCACAACAAGUUUGAUGGAAAGAUUCCCAUAUCUAUUGGAAGACUCAAAGCCCUCCAUGUCCUAAAUUUUUCAAGAAAUGGUUUCACAGGUCCAAUUCCAUUGUCCUUGGUGAAUCUAGCUGAGCUUGAGUCCUUGGAUCUAUCCCAAAACAAGCUCUUUGGUGAGAUACCUCAACAACUAACAAGCUUGACAUUCCUUGAAGUUUUUGAUGUCUCGCAAAAUAAUCUAACUGGGAUUAUACCACGUGGCCAGCAGUUUGAAACAUUUUCAAACAUUUCAUAUGGGGGAAAUGCAGGCUUGUGUGGUUUUCCCUUGUCAAAGGAAUGUAAGACUCCCAAGAUAGCAGAAUCACCAUCUUUACCAUCCUCUUCAAGCCACAAUUAUGAAUGCAGACUUGAUGGUUUUGGAUGGGAAGCAGUGUCAAUGGGAUAUGGAUGUGGAGCAGUAUUUGGUUUGGUGAUAGGAAGUUGCAUCAUUCGAAGGAAAGAAGAAUGGCUUGCGAGAAUUUUUAGACUGAAAAUGUGUCAUCAGAAGAACAGAUCGAAUGAGGUUAGGUACCAACAUGGAGCAAGAUGACAUGUUCAGAACUAAGUGGAGCUUGUUUGAAGUAAAGCAUGUUACAGGAACUUGACAUUAGCCACAAUGGAUUGCAAGGGGUGCUUCCAAGAUCAUUGGCAAAUUGCAUGAACCUAGAAAUUUUGAAUUUGGGUCAUAAUUUCAUUGAAGAUGCUUUUCUAUUUUGGUUGGAGAAUCUGCCCCAAUUGAAGGUACUUUGCCAUCAAAAUACUUUGAGAGCAUGCAUUCAAUGAUAAUGGAUGAUGAAGAUAAAUCCUCCUUAAAUUAUAUGGGCAAUGGUUAUGGUUAUUAUUAUUCGGUAACCGUAAUGAAUAAAGGACUGGAAAUGGAAGGCGUAUUGCUUGGUUUGUUGAUUUGAAGUUGUAUUAUUCGAAGGAAAGAAGAAUGGCUCAUAAGGAUUUUUGGUGUAAAAAUGUGUCAACAUGGGAAGAGAUCAAAGAAGGUUUGGAAGAAGAUAGCUCAUACAAAGUCAAUUAUAAAUUGUUUGUAGUAAAUCUAUUGUGUAUUCUAAUAAAUUGGAGAAGUAUUUGAAGGUUGCAAUGCAAGGUAAAGCUAUAGCGCAAUUCCUUCACUGUGUCUUCUUUUGCCAAUGAAAGUAUUGGUUUGUAAUCUCCAAUGAACGACAACAUGUGGAAGAAACAUGUGUAAUUUUUUUGUUUCGUAGAGAUGCAACAAUCUUAUCCUAUA